RNAcentral lists this ribosomal RNA (301 nucleotides) under uncultured bacterium. Its description in RNAcentral is "partial 16S ribosomal RNA". It matches the Rfam family "Bacterial small subunit ribosomal RNA", at positions 509 to 807 of the family's 1533-position model. The record is from RNAcentral.
CAGCAGCCACGGGAAUACGUAGGUGGCAAGCGUUGUCCGGAAUUAUUGGGCGUAAAGGGCUCGCAGGCGGUUUCUUAAGUCUGAUGUGAAAGCCCCCGGCUCAACCGGGGAGGGUCAUUGGAAACUGGGAAACUUGAGUGCAGAAGAGGAGAGUGGAAUUCCACGUGUAGCGGUGAAAUGCGUAGAGAUGUGGAGGAACACCAGUGGCGAAGGCGGCUCUCUGGUCUGUAACUGACGCUGAGGAGCGAAAGCGUGGGGAGCGAACAGGAUUAGAUACCCCCGUAGUCCCUGUCUCUUAUAC